Molecule: long non-coding RNA, 3032 nt
Organism: Cryptotermes secundus
Lineage: Eukaryota; Metazoa; Arthropoda; Insecta; Blattodea; Kalotermitidae
Exons: 2
Source: RefSeq, a predicted model, not a curated record
UUUCCAAGUGUGAGCCAAUCAGAGAAUCUUGAACGAUCUUGAAAUCUUGAAUUUCCGUCGAAGGCUUUGGGCGUUGCCUCGGAUAAAUGGGAAGAAUAAGAAAAUGUUUCGUUCCUGGGUGCGUGUCAUGCAGUGAGCACACUGGAAUCAAAUUCUUCUAUUUUCCCAGGGAUUCAGCACAGUAUGAGCCAGAUGUAAAAUAUUAUUAUAAAACAUACUGUAAAAUUUUGGCCAGUGUUAUUAAAGGAGCUAAAAUUCUUCAUUAUAAUUCAUUUCUAAUUAUAGUAACAAAAUGAAAACCACCUGGAGCAACAACGAGAAGUCCCCGUUGAAGACGCCGUAGUGAAACUGUUCAAAGGACGGAUGUAGCAGCAUAGGGACCAAGCUGCAGAGCGACGCGGGGAGCCAAAGAAACUGACCUGAGGAGAUUGUGGAUCCCAGAUGAAGUUGGCUGCCGCCUGCAGGAAGGUGUCCCGCCUUGAAACAAUGGCAGGGCGCAAGGUGAACAUCUUCAAGGAAAUUGUGGACUGCAGAAAGAAUUAACCGCAUCCAGGAGGAAUAUUACACGCUGUGCAGGACACAGACAUAUGGAACAAAACAAAGACGAUGUCACACCAAGAGGCCUGAAAGUAGGGACUUUGAUGCACUGAAGUGUUAAUGCUUGCUAAGCUCAUGAAAUAUGAGCAUGUGGACUCACUGAUGUCUGUUGGGAAGUAGGAGGGUAUAGUUAGAGUGGUAGGAUAAGAGGGAGAGGCUAAGAAGCACAUGGGAUGGAAAUCUUCAAAAUUCAUACCAUUCUGCUGCUUUUUCCUGAGCAUGCUUCUGCUGUACAUGUUACCAGCAUAAGGGACUGCCAAAUUGCAGUCAAAAUAAAUACUGGCUUCUCAUUAGAUAUCACAUUUUUGUAAUCAGGUUGUCAAAAAUGAAGGUUAGCUCAAAAUAUAACCCAUAAGUUCCUGUGAUUUCCUUUAACCCUAUUUGGGUGGAGUCGUGUAUUUUUAUUGGAAGUGAAGGAUUGGUAAAGCGUUUGCCUUUAACCCUGAAGAUAGAGGCGAAAUAUUCCUUCGAAAUAUCAGGUGACUUUCACCUCAUUACAUGACAUAUCCCAGAAGACAGAAUUCUUCAUGGGCACUGCUGUAAGAACCUCAACUCCAACAUUAUUUGUUACAAUUAUCUUAGUAGUCUGCAUCCUGUUGUGUGUCAUAAACAAGGUAAAUAAAAUUUAUACGAAAGUAUGCAGUCAACACAACAAUAUUCUGUAUUUUAAACAAAACAGACUAUCGUAUCAACAUUUGCCUUUAUCGAGGCUAGAGCACCAAGACUGCAUACUUUUGUAUACAGUUUAUGUAAUUUGAUUUGUCCCAUUCUGGUCCAUCACACUAUUAAUUACAAAGUGGAUAAUUUUCAGUCCAGUGUGACAUACAAGUUUAUAACACUUCAAUCUUUAUUCAGCUUACAUGUUUCGAUUCAAAAGAAUCAUCCUCAGAGGCGCACCACUACGAUCAGGAAACACUGUCACAUAAGAUGUUUUAAUAAUAUGCACUUAUGCUAUGAAUAUGUACCUUGAUUAUGUGUUAUUGUCAGUGGGAAUGUACCUUCAAAUAUGUUUAAUGUUGUGUGCCUUAUUGUACUCAGUACAGUUUAAGGAGUUGCCUUUCAUGUUGUUUUAUAUUGCACUAGCUGUAAUAAGCAGUGAUCCAAAAGUGUGGCAAACAUGAGGAAGUGUAACAGGUUAAAAUUAUGGUUAUAAACAGAAGUGCGCUUGUUUCUCACCACAGAUAACAUUGUAGAGUGGGGGGGGGCACUGGUUUAUGGUAUAGCAAAUUUUUUUUAAUGUCACUACAAUAUAUAAUUAAUCGUUAUUUACUUUUCUCAUACAAAUACAGACGAGAAUCAUGUAUGAAUCGUACAUUUUUUCAUAUCUUCCAAUUGCUUACGUAAAACAGUGAGUGGCAGAUAAUUAAAUGUGAAGUGAGGGAUUCUUAUUAAUAGUUGUAUUUGUGCAUUGGAGGGGCAUAACCAUUGUCUUUAUAAGGCCACUAUCAUGAUGCUUGCAAAGUGUGCAUUCUCAUGAGAAUGUGCAAGUAUUGGUUCAUUCCCAUUUGUUUAGGCAUACUGGUCCCGUGGCCUUCAUUUAUUCACGCCUCUUCCAUUCAGUCCUGGCAAGGGAGGUUUGUGUUCUUCAGAACCCACCUUUUUGUAAAUGCUGGAAACCUGGACAAUGUUUAUUUAGGUAAGAGACAUUUUCACCUAGUUCUGUGGUUCAUGUCUGCUGACAUGUUUGUAUACUCCUGUAUAUGCAGGACAAGUAUUUUUGUUUGUGUAGUCUUUUUUAUGGCAGUGUCAGUGGCUACAGCCUACCUGUAUAUCAUCAAAUGGUUGGAUGAACGAUGAUGAUUUGGAAGGUAGUGGUUAUGACAUGACUGAAUGUACCAUACCAUUAUUUGCCUGCAUGGUCUGAGGAAAACCAUCAGAGACCUCAGUCAGGAUAGUUAAUGUACUGGCCAAGAUUCAACACAGGUGCCUCCUUAAUACUAGUCAUGUUACUGCUUGAGCCAGCUGCAGUAAAUAUUAUAGGAAAAUUGACAGUUUCUUGAUGUAAAUUUGCAUUAGCCCUAUUUUCUGAAAACCAUGAUUUAUUAUAAGGAACACCAUUUUCUGGGAACUUCAUUAAAUAAGGGUUUAGUUGUAAUUACACUUGAGGAGGUAAUAUAGCUCUGUGUUAGCAUUAAUAGUGAUGGAAAAAGUUAAGAGAGAAAUUCCUUCAGUGUUCAUUCAGAAUUAAAAGCUUUGUAAACCUGGAAUACUUAUUUCAGAAGUAUCACUUUUUUAUUACAGGUCAAGAAAUGCCUACGAGUUUUCAGGCUUUGAUGAGAACUGUGCGGAUGGCAUAUGGGAUUGGUGUGGCACUACGUCUUGACCAGAUGGGAUGUAUUAGCUGAAUUAUUGUAUACCUGUCCUUUACUGGCGUGAAGACCAGCCAAAUCCUGGUGUGCAGUUUGGUAUAGGUGUUCAUUUCCCAUAAUUAAAAU